CUGAAUUAUCCUGUAUGUAUCAGUGCUGCUACAAUAUCUUUGUUCUCCUUUGCCAGUGGCUUUCCAUGAAAGGUUCCAUCUCUCUUCUGGCUCUUUCUUUGUGCUCUGGUAUCCUUACUGGUAGGAGCAGUUAGGGCAGACCCACCAAAGUGGUAGGAUCCAGUGACCGCUCCCAGAAGCUGCGUUGGUGUUCACAGAUAAUGUGAGAAAGUGUCUUCAAUCUGGUGCAAGAACUAUCCGUGCUGGGCUUGGCUCAUUCAGUAUUGUUCUUUAUUUAUCAUUAAUAUGGCAGUGAUGCCUAACGGCCACAAUCAGGCUGCACUAGGUGCUGUGCAAACAUACAGUGUGUGACCAUCUCUGCCCCAAAGAGCUUGUAGUCAAAAUAAGAUGCACUAGGUGGAUGAGGCAAAUAGGUGUGCUGAGUGGGAGGCAGGGUAAUAAAUGUAACACCAUGUGCACAAUCCUUAGGCUGACAAGUGAUCACGGCUCCCCACCUGCCUAGCCAUUCUCAAGCUGUUCAUGUCGCUCCCAGAAAGGCACGGGCUAGAGAAGACAAGGUUUCAUGGGAUGUCAUGUUCUGUGUGUAAGCAGAGUCAGAAUGAGCUCUACCCUGACAUCUGGUGGUGAGCUGUGGAAAAUGACUUCAGGGGCUGAUCUAGUUUGCAUGGGCACACUCACCCUGCCUAACAUGGACUGCCUGCCCAAAUAGUCACUUUGGCUCCUGUGGGAUCCCCACUCUCUUUGUUGCUGGGGCAGGAGUAAUAAAGCGUUGUUAUCCUGGUUAUGUGAAACAAGGACAGUAGAACUCUACUUGGCAUUUUCUGAUGGAGGGACUCAUUCUCAACUAAGCAGCACUUGCUAGGCAAGGGACAUGGGUUCCAAAACCCAGUGAAUUGAGAGAGAGGCUGGGGACAGGUGUGUGUAUCUGGUAGUGUGGGCCCCUUCUGAGGGUUCUAAACACUACUUUGCCCCCUUCUCUCUACACCAUGUAAUAACAGAGCUAAUUCUGAGUCCAUUAGGAGUCUUGUUACAUGCUGCAGAGCUGAAAUCACUGAUACCUAGGUCUAAGCAUUGAACCUACUUUGGGCUAGUGAUCCACCAGCACUGGGACCCCCCUACUACCAGCUAAAUUCACUGAGAGCUGAACUCACUAAAGAGCUGUAGUUACUAAGAACUGAGAUCACAGAGCUGUGUUAAGGAGCGGGGGCCUGAAGACAAGCUGGUGAGCAGCUAGCAGGGUGGUUGGCGGAGAGGAGUGGACAGCAGGAUGGCUAGUGGAAAGGAGCGGCGAGCAGAGUGGAGAGCAUGGCGGUUGGCGGAGAGGAGCGGAAAGCAGGACGGGUUGCGGCAAGGCACAGCUGACGGUGAAGACUGCAGCAGAACCACAUGGAGAGGCAUGGCACUUGGCCAUCGACCCGAGCAGCAGAGCAUGGAGAACCGGUGGAGUUCCUGGGAAUGAAAGGCUGAAGUAUCUGGACUUGGAUUGCUCCUGACAAGCAGAAAGACUCUCAGAGUAACAGUGCAAGAAGGGUAGGCAACGGAUUGAUCUGGAAGGAAAAAGCACAGGGGCUGUAACAACAGCUGAGACUGGCAGAGGGAAACAAAAGCCAAGCCAGAUGACUUGCCAAAGAAGGAACCCUUAGAGCUUGCAGGCUGAUAUGCAGACUGGUAUGUAGAGAGGAGCAGGAAUGUAGAUGGAAGAAUAUAGCAACUGGCAGAAGCAGAGGAGAGCAGUUUAUUCUAGUCUCCCCACAGGAACCAUGCCUCCAUUUUGGGAGGAACAGAAGCAGACUAAGAGGAGGCCAGAGACUGUAGAAGAUGAUGGCCCUGCAAAGAAAAAGAUGGAAAAACCCAGGUUAUGGUGAGUUUCCAUAGCAACGCAAUACUUUUCCUGGGAAUUUCAAAGGAAUAGAUCAAAUGUCUGUAACUCUCAAAUUCCAAAUCCUCCAGCUCCAGGAUUUGCCCACAACCAAUUGCAGUGGUCACAUGUUCACCAAGAGCUUCAGUGGUGCAAUAAGAUCAUGAACGAUGGACGCAGACUGAA
Long non-coding RNA from Caretta caretta (loggerhead turtle), 2044 nucleotides. RefSeq lists it as uncharacterized. The record is from RefSeq and is a predicted model, not a curated record. Lineage: Eukaryota; Metazoa; Chordata; Testudines; Cheloniidae.